This 1440-nucleotide ribosomal RNA is filed under the name uncultured organism. Its description in RNAcentral is "16S ribosomal RNA". It matches the Rfam family "Bacterial small subunit ribosomal RNA". The record is from RNAcentral.
GCUUAACACAUGCAAGUCGAGGGGCAGCAUUUCAGUUUGCUUGCAAACUGGAGAUGGCGACCGGCGCACGGGUGAGUAACACGUAUCCAACCUGCCGAUAACUCGGGGAUAGCCUUUCGAAAGAAGGAUUAAUACCCGAUGGUAUAAUCAGACCGCAUGGUCUUGUUAUUAAAGAAUUUCGGUUAUCGAUGGGGAUGCGUUCCAUUAGGCAGUUGGUGAGGUAACGGCUCACCAAACCUUCGAUGGAUAGGGGUUCUGAGAGGAAGGUCCCCCACAUUGGAACUGAGACACGGUCCAAACUCCUACGGGAGGCAGCAGUGAGGAAUAUUGGUCAAUGGGCGCAGGCCUGAACCAGCCAAGUAGCGUGAAGGAUGACUGCCCUAUGGGUUGUAAACUUCUUUUAUAUGGGAAUAAAGUUUUCCACGUGUGGAAUUUUGUAUGUACCAUAUGAAUAAGGAUCGGCUAACUCCGUGCCAGCAGCCGCGGUAAUACGGAGGAUCCGAGCGUUAUCCGGAUUUAUUGGGUUUAAAGGGAGCGUAGGUGGACAGUUAAGUCAGUUGUGAAAGUUUGCGGCUCAACCGUAAAAUUGCAGUUGAUACUGGCUGUCUUGAGUACAGUAGAGGUGGGCGGAAUUCGUGGUGUAGCGGUGAAAUGCUUAGAUAUCACGAAGAACUCCGAUUGCGAAGGCAGCUCACUGGACUGCAACUGACACUGAUGCUCGAAAGUGUGGGUAUCAAACAGGAUUAGAUACCCUGGUAGUCCACACAGUAAACGAUGAAUACUCGCUGUUUGCGAUAUACAGUAAGCGGCCAAGCGAAAGCAUUAAGUAUUCCACCUGGGGAGUACGCCGGCAACGGUGAAACUCAAAGGAAUUGACGGGGGCCCGCACAAGCGGAGGAACAUGUGGUUUAAUUCGAUGAUACGCGAGGAACCUUACCCGGGCUUAAAUUGCAUUUGAAUAUAUUGGAAACAGUAUAGCCGUAAGGCAAAUGUGAAGGUGCUGCAUGGUUGUCGUCAGCUCGUGCCGUGAGGUGUCGGCUUAAGUGCCAUAACGAGCGCAACCCUUAUCUUCAGUUACUAACAGGUCAUGCUGAGGACUCUGGAGAGACUGCCGUCGUAAGAUGUGAGGAAGGUGGGGAUGACGUCAAAUCAGCACGGCCCUUACGUCCGGGGCUACACACGUGUUACAAUGGGGGGUACAGAAGGCAGCUAGCGGGUGACCGUAUGCUAAUCCCAAAAGCCUCUCUCAGUUCGGAUCGAAGUCUGCAACCCGACUUCGUGAAGCUGGAUUCGCUAGUAAUCGCGCAUCAGCCACGGCGCGGUGAAUACGUUCCCGGGCCUUGUACACACCGCCCGUCAAGCCAUGGGAGCCGGGGGUACCUGAAGUACGUAACCGCAAGGAUCGUCCUAGGGUAAAACUGGUGACUGGGGCUAAGUCGU